UAUAGCUCAGUUGUUACAGCACUUGCCUAGCAUGCAAGAGGCCCUGAGUUCAAUCCCCAGUA
RNAcentral lists this transfer RNA (62 nucleotides) under Cricetulus griseus (Chinese hamster). It matches the Rfam family "tRNA", at positions 6 to 65 of the family's 71-position model. From Rfam's summary of the family: Transfer RNA (tRNA) molecules are approximately 80 nucleotides in length. Their secondary structure includes four short double-helical elements and three loops (D, anti-codon, and T loops). Lineage: Eukaryota; Metazoa; Chordata; Mammalia; Rodentia; Cricetidae. The record is from Rfam by way of RNAcentral.